ACGGGAGGCAGCAGUGAGGAAUAUUGGACAAUGGGUGAGAGCCUGAUCCAGCCAUCCCGCGUGAAGGACGACGGCCCUAUGGGUUGUAAACUUCUUUUGUAUAGGGAUAAACCUUUCCACGUGUGGAAAGCUGAAGGUACUAUACGAAUAAACACCGGCUAACUCCGUGCCAGCAGCCGC
RNAcentral lists this ribosomal RNA (180 nucleotides) under uncultured Chryseobacterium sp. RNAcentral describes it as "partial 16S ribosomal RNA". It matches the Rfam family "Bacterial small subunit ribosomal RNA", at positions 341 to 518 of the family's 1533-position model. Lineage: Bacteria; Pseudomonadati; Bacteroidota; Flavobacteriia; Flavobacteriales; Weeksellaceae. The record is from RNAcentral.